GACGAACGCUGGCGGCGUGCUUAACACAUGCAAGUCGAGCGGUAAGGCCUUUCGGGGUCCCCGAGCGGCGAACGGGCGAGUAACACGUGGGCGAUUGGCCCUGCACUUUGGGAUAAGCCUGGGAAAUUGGGUCUAAUACGGGAUAUGCCCUCAUAUUGCUUGGUGGGAGGGGGAAAGAUUUAUCGGUGCAGGUUGGGCCCCCGGCCUAUCAGCUCGUUGGGGAGGUAAUGGCCUGCCAAGGCGACGACGGGUCGCCGACCUGUGAGGGGGACCGGCCACACUGGGACUGAGACACGGCCCAGACUCCUACGGGAGGCAGCAGUGGGGAAUAUUGCACAAUGGGCGAAAGCCUGAUGCAGCGACGCCGCGUGAGGGAUGACGGCCUUCGGGUUGUAAACCUCUUUCAGCAGGGACGAAGCGCAAGUGACGGUACCUGCAGAAGAAGCACCGGCUAACUACGUG
Molecule: ribosomal RNA, 462 nt
Filed under: uncultured bacterium
Lineage: Bacteria
Description: partial 16S ribosomal RNA
Rfam family: Bacterial small subunit ribosomal RNA
Source: RNAcentral